Molecule: ribosomal RNA, 798 nt
Filed under: uncultured bacterium
Lineage: Bacteria
Description: bacterial SSU rRNA
Rfam family: Bacterial small subunit ribosomal RNA
Source: RNAcentral
AGAGUUUGAUCCUGGCUCAGGACGAACGCUGGCGGCGUGCCUAAUACAUGCAAGUCGAACGCUUCUUUCCUCCCGAGUGCUUGCACUCAAUUGGAAAGAGGAGUGGCGGACGGGUGAGUAACACGUGGGUAACCUACCCAUCAGAGGGGGAUAACACUUGGAAACAGGUGCUAAUACCGCAUAACAGUUUAUGCCGCAUGGCAUAAGAGUGAAAGGCGCUUUCGGGUGUCGCUGAUGGAUGGACCCGCGGUGCAUUAGCUAGUUGGUGAGGUAACGGCUCACCAAGGCCACGAUGCAUAGCCGACCUGAGAGGGUGAUCGGCCACACUGGGACUGAGACACGGCCCAGACUCCUACGGGAGGCAGCAGUAGGGAAUCUUCGGCAAUGGACGAAAGUCUGACCGAGCAACGCCGCGUGAGUGAAGAAGGUUUUCGGAUCGUAAAACUCUGUUGUUAGAGAAGAACAAGGACGUUAGUAACUGAACGUCCCCUGACGGUAUCUAACCAGAAAGCCACGGCUAACUACGUGCCAGCAGCCGCGGUAAUACGUAGGUGGCAAGCGUUGUCCGGAUUUAUUGGGCGUAAAGCGAGCGCAGGCGGUUUCUUAAGUCUGAUGUGAAAGCCCCCGGCUCAACCGGGGAGGGUCAUUGGAAACUGGGAGACUUGAGUGCAGAAGAGGAGAGUGAAUUCCAUGUGUAGCGGUGAAGUGCGUAGAUAUAUGGAGGAACACCAUUGUCGAAAGCGGCUCUCUGGUCUGUAACUGACGCUGACGCUCGAAAGCGUGGGGAGCAAACAGGAU